UAAAGGUAGCCCCAAAAGAGCCAGCAGUUAGGUUGAAGUGUUCAUUGUAGUGAGCCUGUGGCAUGAAGGUCCUCCCCAGUAAACAUCAGCCUGCAAACAGAAUCACUAGUGCUUAGCAACAGUGUCAUAGUGCCACUGGAAUGGUGGUAGAAGGAUCUCUUCACCCCUAGACUACCACGGCAGAUUGGAACCCAGGAAUCCGCAGAGAAAACAUAAGAUUUCUAUCUAGAAAAAGGGAGCAAAAGAGAAAGGAAGGGAGUGGAUAGGGCAGGACUGUGUACUUCAGGGGCCUGCAGUCUCUGCACCAGGACACCAGGAGACCUGACUCAGAGAAGAGACUAGAAACCAACAGAAAGAAACUAAACAGCUGUCUGAUACAUAUACAGAUACACACUUGUACAUGUGUAUCCCAAUUUAAAGCUAUACAGAAAAUUAACUGAGGAACGGACUAUGGGGUCGUUGAUCUUCCUUCUCAUCAAACUUGCAUCCCACCAACUUCGGGCCUGCUGCAGCUAAUUAUUCUUGAUUCUCCCAACCAAGAACACUCAGAAACCUGACCUGAUUACAACAUACCUCAAAAAUCCCAAGUGUACGUAUAUCUUCUGGGCUGGUGAACAUGGCCUCCAACUCUUCAAGUUUUAUGCACAGUAGUAGAGGCUAGAAGAGGAAGCUCAAUUUGAA
RNAcentral lists this long non-coding RNA (681 nucleotides) under Homo sapiens (human). RNAcentral describes it as "HSALNT0393592". Lineage: Eukaryota; Metazoa; Chordata; Mammalia; Primates; Hominidae. The record is from RNAcentral.